This 256-nucleotide ribosomal RNA is filed under the name uncultured bacterium. Its description in RNAcentral is "partial 16S ribosomal RNA". It matches the Rfam family "Bacterial small subunit ribosomal RNA", at positions 524 to 776 of the family's 1533-position model. The record is from RNAcentral.
UACGGAGGAUCCAAGCGUUGUCCGGAUUUACUGGGUUUAAAGGGUGCGUAGGAGGGCAGGUAAGUCAGUGGUGAAAUCUCCAAGCUUAACUUGGAACUGCCGUUGAUACUAUCUGUCUUGAAUAUUUGUGGAGGUGAGCGGAAUAUGUCAUGUAGCGGUGAAAUGACUUAGAUAUGACAUAGAACACCAAAUUGCGAAGGCAGCUCACUACUCAAUCAUUGACUCUGAGGCACGAAAGCGUGGGGGAUCAAACAGG